This is an RNA transcript of Syngnathoides biaculeatus (alligator pipefish), 6266 nucleotides long. It is a transcript of the gene named dihydrouridine synthase 1-like (S. cerevisiae), with no coding region annotated. The transcript has 16 exons. The record is from RefSeq and is a predicted model, not a curated record. Lineage: Eukaryota; Metazoa; Chordata; Actinopteri; Syngnathiformes; Syngnathidae.
ACGUCACACUGAACAAGCGGAUCACGAGAGAAAUCGGAAGUACGUCAUAGACGUUGUGUACCGGAGCCACUGAAAAGGACAAGUAGCUCCCUAUUGUGUGAUAUUUACUGCAGCUCCAUCCUCAGCACCCUUCUACCAAUGUACUCACUCUGUCGCCUUUGGACAUAUUGUAACCAGUUUUGGAUUUCCUGGUCCGAUAAAGUCUGUGAAGAUGGCAAAGCUUCAAGGUUUUGAUUUUUGGAAGAAAACCCUGAAAGAAGCUUGCUUUGUCGUGGCACCCAUGGUGGAUCAGAGCGAACUGGCAUGGCGUUUACUUAGCCGUCGCCAUGGUGCUCACCUCUGUUUCACCCCCAUGCUGCAUGCGCAGGUAUUUGUUCGUGAUGCUAAUUACAGGAGAGAAAACCUCUAUAAUGAGGUUUGUGAGGAAGAUCGACCCCUAAUAACUCAGUUUUGUGCAAAUGAUCCCGAGGUGUUCAUUCAGGCAGCUCUUUUGGCCCAGAACUACUGUGACGCCAUUGACCUCAACCUGGGUUGUCCUCAGAUGAUCGCAAAAAGGGGCCACUAUGGAGUUUUCCUGCAAGAUGAAUGGGAGCUGUUAAAAAAUAUGGUCAUGUUAGCAAACGAAAAGCUGUCUGUGCCUAUCACGUGUAAGAUCCGUGUGUUUGAGGACAUCGAAAAGACUGUCUGCUAUGCCCAGAUGUUGGAGAAAGCUGGAUGCCAGCUACUCACUGUGCACGGCAGAACCAAGGACCAGAAAGGAGCAAUGACUGGAAUUGCUAGCUGGGAGCAUGUCAGAGCAGUUCGGAAGGCUGUAAAUAUUCCUGUAUUUGCGAACGGCAACAUUCAGCAUCUGAGUGAUGUGCAACGCUGCAUUAAGGAGACAGGAGUGCAAGGGGUGAUGAGUGCAGAGGGAAACCUCCAUAACCCAGCACUCUUUGAAGGACGUAGCCCCCCCGUUUGGGAGAUGGCCGAAGAGUACUUUGAGGUGGUGAGGCAGCAUCCCCCAUGCAACCUGUCCUAUGUACGAGCCCAUCUCUUCAAGCUGUGGCACCACACGCUUCAGAUCCACCAGGACCUGAGAGAGGACUUGGCUAAAGUCAAAACUCUUGAGGGUUUGGCUCACGUUAGUAACCAGCUAAGGCUGCGAUGCCAGGAAGAGAUUGCCAGAGGAAAUGUUCCGGAUAAGAAGAGCACCCUGCCCUUCCCUCACUGGAUCUGCCAACCAUAUGUCAGACCACCGCCCAAAGAUUUGUCUUGCAAAGAUAACUUCCAGGAUUCACAAGUAAAGAUGACAGGGUGCCAAAAGAGAAUACUAGAGGAUACAACUGUGUCACCUGAGAAACUCUCCAAAAAUAAACAGAAGAAAAGAUCCCGCAAUCCCAACAAGAACUUCUGUCCUGAUCAGAAACCCAAGUACAUCAAAUGUGAACAGUGUGGCAACCCAAAGGCUCGGGGACACCACCUCAUCCACAUGCACCAACAGCACCGGAGCAUCCCAAGGUUGUGUCUUCUCACUUCUGCUCUUCUCGCUCUACACCAACGACUGCACUUCAUGGCAUCCGACUGUGAAACUCCUGAAGUUUCCAGAUGACACCACGGUCAUCGGCUUCAUCAAAGACUGUGACGAAUCUUCAUAUCGACUGGAGCUUUGGUGUGGUAACCUCAACACAACCUAUUGAACACUCUAAAGACUGUCGAGAUGAUUGUGGACUGUCGGAGGCAACCUUCACCAGAGCUGACGCUGUCCAACUGUCUUGUGGCAACUGUCAAGACCUUCAAGUUCUUGCGAAUUACAUUGUCAAAGGAUCUGAGGUGGAAGAUGAACAUCAACUCCAUCCUCAAAAAGCCCAGCAAAGGAUGUACUUCUUGCAGCUUCUGGGGAAGCACGGCCUGUCAUGGGAGCUGCUGAGUCAGUUCUACACAGCGGUCAUCCAAUCAGUACUGUCUACCUCCAUCACAGUCUGGUUUGGGACUGCCACAAAAAAGGACAAACUCCGACUACAAUGGACAAUAAAAAACGGAAUGUCAGCACCUCUCUACCCACGAUUGAAGACUUGCACGCAACUCGAACUUGGUCCAGAGCGGGCAGGAUUCUUUCAGACCCUCCACAUCCUGGCCUCCAGCUCUUCCAGCUCCUUCCGCCGGGAAAGUGCUACCGAUCAAUGCAAACUACAAACUAGCAGGCAUUCAAACUGUUUUUUCCCUCUGGCAAUUGAUCAUCGACCCUACUAUUUUCUGCCUUGUGCCAUUGUUGGGACACACCCUCACAUCCUUCUGGUCCAACUAGUAUUCAUAUUAGUAAUGUAUUUUGUAUACUAUCGCACGAUUCGUCACUUUCAAUGCUCCCUUUGCACAAUUGUCAUUGCACUGGACUAUAACGAAAACCGCAAAUAGGUAAAGGCACACAGUACUACAAGCUUAACACUGUGAGACUUUGACACACUCUUAUCUCUUACCUAUUUGAAAUGAAGAUUACAUCUUGGACAUCUGUGACUCUUGUAAGGGAUAGUCCCUAUAAACAGAAAUGUCUCUUGUUCUUUUGUUCUUGUUACUUCGUUGUCCUUUGUUCUGAAUGUCAGCCCUGCCGGAGAAAAAAUCCUUUUGUGUUUUGACACACUUUGCCAAUUAAGCUGAUUAUGAUUCUUAUCUGGGAUCUUGUUCUUUUGGUCACGAUCGACUGGUAAAUUGAGUGUGUCUCCUUUCGUCUUAGCACCUUUCGUCCCACGACAGACCGAUACAAAGUCAUCAAAGUCAACCCAUCACUGCAGACGCUGCACCAAUCCGCCUGUCGAUCUCCCGCUCCAUUCUUUACUCAAUCAUGAACAAGACCCCAACAUACUUGAACUCCAAGUCCACAAAACACAUGUCGACUGGUUGGACGAACACCCAUGCACCCUCGAGGAUCCUGCCAAAGGUGUCACACUGGUACACUGCUCCACGGCCAGCACGAAAGCCACAUUGUUCCUCCUGAAUCUGAGAUUCGAAAUCCCGACAAACCCUCCUCUCCAGAUGAAUACACUUACCAGGGAGGCUGAGGUCUGUGAUUCCCCCUAUAGUUGGAACACACCCGAAGGGGGACCACCACCCCAGUCUGCAAAUCCAGAGGCACUAUCCCCGAUGUCCAUGUGAUGUUGCAGAGGCGUGUCAACCAGGACGGCCCCACAACAUCCAGAGCCUUUAGGAACUCCGUGCGAAUCUCAUCCACCCCUGGGGCUCUGCCACCAAGGAGGUUUUGCACCUCUUUGGUGACCAUGACCCCAGAGAUAGAAGACCCUGCCUCAGAGAACAGGCACAACUCAGUGUACUUGGCAGUGGAAAGGGACUGUUGUGAGUAGGAGCGUGGGAUGUAGAGACUGCUCAGGUCCUGAAGCGAUUCUUUCCAUGUCUCCCAAAUCCUUCUCUUGUCUUCAGGAAGGCCUUAGUCCCAAUCCUGGAUGUCAGAGGACAGUUCUCUGAGCAGUGGUCUUCCCUGGAUCGUCACCGGCGCCACGAAGCCUAAGGGGUCAAAGAGACUAUUGACCGUGGAGAGCACACCGCGAUGAGUGAAGGGCUUGUCACCUCCUGCAGGCUUGAACGUAAAGGUGUCAAUGUUAAUGUCCAGCCCAGACCAAGGCUUCUUUGUGUUGGCAGCUCACCAUCCUCGAGACCCAGGUCUUUAGUUUUCAGCAAGGUCAAGGUUGUCAGGUCGUUGCCCUUAUGCCAGAGAAAAUCGUAAAUAGUUUUUGUGAUCCUCUUGUACCAGGAAGCUGUGAUCCUCUUGGACCACGAAGCUGUAGAACAUUUGUUGGAUAUCUGGUGCUAUCCCCACAAGUUCUUUGCGAGACCUCAUCAACACUCUGAUAAAGGAAUUGUUCAAGUCAGGGCCAGAGUUGACGACGCUGUUGAGGGCAAAGUCCACGGUGUUGGGCACUGGAGUCAAACACCACCCAUAUCUGACCUGGUUUCUAGGGGUGGUACGCUCCAAAGACUGGCAGAUACCAGCACUCUUUGUUCUCCUAGAGUAGGGGUGUUUCCUCUGCGUGCUUUUUUGUGAAAACGUUCUCCAUGAAAGCAGCAAACUUCAUUUCCGGCCUCUUGUUCACUGUACAUUGCAAGGAAGAGAGGCGGGAGAGGGCUUCAUCACGGUUAUUUAGAGGUGGUGGUCUGGGUGUCCUAAAGGGCAAGGGGCAACACAGCUGCUUUGUUCAUUUUUGUCGGACUCUUUCUGCAUGAUUUCGAGUGAGACCUCAGCCUACAAUGACAUAGCGCAUUUGUUGUCAUUCUCUGUCUUUUCAAAAACAGUGUGACCAAGUUCUUGCUCAUCUGGCACAUGGGAGUGUUUGGGCACGUGAGGAUGAACGGUAGACUCCCCGCCAUCACUUAUCCUCUUUUUCAAGGGAAUGCGUUAGAGCACACAGGAAAGCAUUCCACGUUUUGACUCUCUGCCAUAGAUUGUUCUCUUUCAUGUUGAUGCGAUUCUGGCAAGGAGUGAGGUUUGGCAGACGUCCGUUCUGAAGGAUAUUUGUAUUGUUGAUAUGGACUGUUGUUGGACUGUGGACAUUGCUGUUGCCUUCAUGCAACGAUUACCCAGCCUAAAUCUAGGCGCUGAGCAAAAGGUGCGUUGUUGAGGCCAUUUACCGUUUGUCUCACCUUAUGUUCUCUGAUCAUGUCUCUUUCCAGCAACAGUAAGAUUUCACCAUCAGUGUCUAACUUUGGGAGGUAAGGUGCCACAGACGUUAAGUGGGUGGACAGAAGGUCAACAUCUGGUGUUGCAAUUUCUGACCUUUUGCUCAUUAUCUCGUUACAUUCAAUGAGAGGUGGGAGGUCAAAACACUCACCACCACUGACCGCUUCAUUCUGGAAUCCGACUGCUUUCCUUCCAGUCAUCUCUCUGAUGCCAGCACAGGUCCUAGGUAGGGUGACAGGCUGCCUUGGAGUACAAACAGCUGGAAGAACUCUGACCUUGCCAGCGAGCGGUGGCUCUGGUCAUCAAGGACUACAUACACCACCUCCGCAUCAGAGCUAAUGUCGCACAACGGCGGCUAACAGCGAUAUGAUGCAGAUCUUUUGUAACGUUUUGAGAGGAGGAUUACGUGCUUGGACGUGGACUGAGCUUUUUAUUAAUACUGUUGCUUUCGGACAAGUACGCGGACACCACCGAUAUGACACAGAUCUUGUGUCAUAUUCUGAGAGAAGGAUUACGUCGUCGAAUGCAGACGGAGCUUUUCAUUUAUACUGCUGCUUUCGGACAAGUACACGGAUUUCCUGGAACAUUCGCUGAAAAUAUUUGUUCGAGUUUGGUGACUAUAUGUUGUUUUGCUAGUUAGCGUGUUACACACUACUAAACUAUCUUUAGUUUAAACUAUCCUAUGAUCGACCAAGACUGCCUCGCGAUCGAUCAAUGUAUUGAGCACACCUGAUUUAAGUGACUUCAAGUAACUUCAUCAAAGUUGUGCAAUUCUGAUGUGUUGGCUCACCUUGAUGAAAAAUUGACACAGUUGCCAGCUGAACAGAAAGCUGAAAUGUGUGGAAGGGGGUGCAGUGCAUGCUGGACAUUAUUCUUGAACCCAGUGACAGUUCGUUGAGCUCACCAUGUGUACUUGUGCCGAAGAGUCGUGGUGGUGGUUGGCGCUGCUGCGCUAACAUGAAGACUGUCAAUGCACUGUCACAAACUGAUUCCUAACCUCUACUGAGAGUGGAUGAUCGCACUGAUCACGUUGGUCACGCUACCUAACCUAACCCUAACUUAUGAAGGGUAAAUCCAUUCUCCCAAGUGUUCAAGCAAUGUCCAGCAAUGCAAUGAGCCGGCAUUUUGGCUAACACAAAGGAACAACGAGCUGCCUUCCCGGAGGUAAAACUAGUGGAAACAAACGAGUACAUGUGGGGGCGCCGCUGUCCUUUACGUCACUUCCUGCUUCUCGAAAACAAAUCCCUUGAGAUGAUUUUCAUGACGGGAGUUACAAAAAACUGUACACGUCAAAAUCAUGUUUUGUGGUGGAAAAAAAGCAUGAGCCCAUAUUGGCUGAUGUUUUUUCAUUAAUAACAUACUAAAAAUCAUCCAUUUUCCAUGACAGUAGCCCUUUAACCACCCAAACCUGCUGCUGCACAUCCUUCCCAUCUCUAUCCGUCUGUCUGGCGAGCCAACCUGUCAAGGGAAAUAAAUGUGUCUUCAAUCUUUGUCGGGGUUGCUGUAAGAAGAAGUCUUACAAGGAGGUGGCCAACUGUUUAAGCCAUGGACUCAAAUUCAAGACCAAGGCAGAUGCAAGUAAAGCUCAAGAGGAUGUGAG